This 250-nucleotide ribosomal RNA is filed under the name Pseudomonas asiatica. RNAcentral's name for it is "partial 23S ribosomal RNA". It matches the Rfam family "Bacterial large subunit ribosomal RNA", at positions 2681 to 2925 of the family's 2925-position model. Lineage: Bacteria; Pseudomonadati; Pseudomonadota; Gammaproteobacteria; Pseudomonadales; Pseudomonadaceae. The record is from RNAcentral.
GUACGAGAGGACCGGAGUGGACGAACCUCUGGUGUUCCGGUUGUCACGCCAGUGGCAUUGCCGGGUAGCUAUGUUCGGAAGAGAUAACCGCUGAAAGCAUCUAAGCGGGAAACUUGCCUCAAGAUGAGAUCUCACUGGGAUCUUGAAUCCCCUGAAGGGCCGUCGAAGACUACGACGUUGAUAGGUUGGGUGUGUAAGCGCUGUGAGGCGUUGAGCUAACCAAUACUAAUUGCCCGUGAGGCUUGACCAU